CGCGUAGACGGUUUUUUAAGUCUGGAGUGAAAGUCCUGCUUUCAAGGUGGGAAUUGCUUUGGAGACUGGAAGGCUUGAGUGCGGAAGAGGUAAGUGGAAUUCCCAGUGUAGCGGUGAAAUGCGUAGAGAUUGGGAAGAACACCAGUGGCGAAGGCGACUUACUGGGCCGUAACUGACGUUGAUGCGCGAAAGCGUGGGGAGCAAACA
RNAcentral lists this ribosomal RNA (207 nucleotides) under uncultured bacterium. RNAcentral describes it as "partial 16S ribosomal RNA". It matches the Rfam family "Bacterial small subunit ribosomal RNA", at positions 568 to 774 of the family's 1533-position model. The record is from RNAcentral.